RNAcentral lists this ribosomal RNA (1346 nucleotides) under Xylaria badia. RNAcentral describes it as "eukaryotic LSU rRNA". It matches the Rfam family "Eukaryotic large subunit ribosomal RNA", at positions 54 to 1427 of the family's 3401-position model. The record is from RNAcentral. Lineage: Eukaryota; Fungi; Ascomycota; Sordariomycetes; Xylariales; Xylariaceae.
AUCGUUAGAGACCAACAGGGAUUGCCCUAGUAACGGCGAGUGAAGCGGCAACAGCUCAAAUUUGAAAUCUGGCCCUCGGGUCCGAGUUGUAAUUUGUAGAGGAUGCUUUUGGCGCGGUGCCUUCCGAGUUCCCUGGAACGGGACGCCUUAGAGGGUGAGAGCCCCGUACGGUUGGACACCAAGCCUCUGUAAAGCUCCUUCGACGAGUCGAGUAGUUUGGGAAUGCUGCUCUAAAUGGGAGGUAAAUUUCUUCUAAAGCUAAAUAUUGGCCAGAGACCGAUAGCGCACAAGUAGAGUGAUCGAAAGAUGAAAAGCACUUUGAAAAGAGGGUUAAAUAGCACGUGAAAUUGUUGAAAGGGAAGCGUUUGCGACCAGACCUUUUCCUGGCGGAUCAUCCGGUGUUCUCACCGGUGCACUUCGCCAGGUUGAGGCCAGCAUCGGUUUCCGCAGGGGGAUAAAAGCUCUGGGAAUGUAGCUCCCUCGGGAGUGUUAUAGCCCUCUGCAUAAUACCCUUGCGGGGACCGAGGACCGCGCUUCGGCAAGGAUGCUGGCAUAAUGGUCGUCAACGACCCGUCUUGAAACACGGACCAAGGAGUCGAACAUUUGUGCGAGUGUUUGGGUGUUAAACCCUCACGCGUAAUGAAAGUGAACGGAGGUGAGAGCCCUUACGGGUGCAUCAUCGACCGAUCCUGAUGUCUUCGGAUGGAUUUGAGUAAGAGCAUAACUGUUCGGACCCGAAAGAUGGUGAACUAUGCGUGGAUAGGGUGAAGCCAGAGGAAACUCUGGUGGAGGCUCGCAGCGGUUCUGACGUGCAAAUCGAUCGUCAAAUCUGCGCAUGGGGGCGAAAGACUUAUCGAACCAUCUAGUAGCUGGUUACCGCCGAAGUUUCCCUCAGGAUAGCAGUGUUGUUCUUCAGUUUUAUGAGGUAAAGCGAAUGAUUAGGGACUCGGGGGCGCUUUUUAGCCUUCAUCCAUUCUCAAACUUUAAAUAUGUAAGAAGCCCUUGUUACUUAAUUGAACGUGGGCAUUCGAAUGUACCAACACUAGUGGGCCAUUUUUGGUAAGCAGAACUGGCGAUGCGGGAUGAACCGAACGCGGGGUUAAGGUGCCGGAGUGGACGCUCAUCAGACACCACAAAAGGUGUUAGCACAUUUAGACAAUAGGACGGUGGCCAUGGAAGUCGGAAUCCGCUAAGGACUGUGUAACAACUCACCUAUCGAAUGUGCUAGCCCUGAAAAUGGAUGGCGCUCAAGCGUCCCACCCAUACCUCGCCCUCAGGGUAGAAACGAUGCCCUGAGGAGUAGGCGGCCGUGGGGGUCAGUGACGAAGCCUAGGGCGGAGCCCGUC